CCUACGGGGGGCAGCAGUGUGGAAUAUUGGACAAUGGGCGAAAGCCUGAUCCAGCCAUGCCGCGUGUGUGAAGAAGGCCUUCGGGUUGUAAAGCACUUUCAGUGGGGAAGAAAGCCUUGGGGCUAAUACCCUCGAGGAAGGACAUCACCCACAGAAGAAGCACCGGCUAACUCCGUGCCAGCAGCCGCGGUAAUACGGAGGGUGCGAGCGUUAAUCGGAAUUACUGGGCGUAAAGCGCGCGUAGGCGGUCUGAUAAGCCGGUUGUGAAAGCCCCGGGCUCAACCUGGGAACGGCAUCCGGAACUGUCAGGCUAGAGUGCAGGAGAGGAAGGUAGAAUUCCCGGUGUAGCGGUGAAAUGCGUAGAGAUCGGGAGGAAUACCAGUGGCGAAGGCGGCCUUCUGGACUGACACUGACGCUGAGGUGCGAAAGCGUGGGUAGCAAACAGGAUUAGAUACCCUAGUAGUC
Molecule: ribosomal RNA, 465 nt
Filed under: Vreelandella stevensii
Lineage: Bacteria; Pseudomonadati; Pseudomonadota; Gammaproteobacteria; Oceanospirillales; Halomonadaceae
Description: partial 16S ribosomal RNA
Rfam family: Bacterial small subunit ribosomal RNA
Source: RNAcentral